GUUUUUGUAGUUGAUACACAACGGUGGCUUUUCACGCCACAAGUCCUGGUUAGAGUCCUGGUAAGAACC
RNAcentral lists this transfer RNA (69 nucleotides) under Lagocephalus laevigatus (smooth puffer). Its description in RNAcentral is "tRNA-Glu". It matches the Rfam family "tRNA". Rfam says of the family: Transfer RNA (tRNA) molecules are approximately 80 nucleotides in length. Lineage: Eukaryota; Metazoa; Chordata; Actinopteri; Tetraodontiformes; Tetraodontidae. The record is from RNAcentral.